Molecule: long non-coding RNA, 1955 nt
Filed under: Zea mays
Lineage: Eukaryota; Viridiplantae; Streptophyta; Magnoliopsida; Poales; Poaceae
Description: long non-coding RNA (ZMAY_LNC001470)
Source: RNAcentral
CCCACCCCUUUGGCCGCCCCCCUCUCUCUUCCUAUAUUCCACUCUUGCAGCCGCUCCAAUCCCUCUCCUUCUUCCCCAAGUGAUUGCAGCGCCACCCCUCAACCCUAGCCGCCCCCCACCUCUUCCUCUCCAAGGUGGAGCCUCCCCGCUUGGUGUCCGUCGUGUGGGUGCGAGUCUUCCAUGGGAGUUUGGAGGGACGAAGAAGGAAGAAAAGAAGGAGGAAAGGAGGAACCCAAGGUGAUUUUCGUGAUCAUUUUGUUGUAUUUGUGCUGCAAUCCAAUUGGUUACAUGUUUACCUAUGCGAUUUGGUAGAGGUGCUGUCCAGAAAUUUAGUGGAUGGACGAACAGCAGUAGUUCUAGGGAUUUCUGGGAAUUUUUCGUGGGCAAUUAGUGGGGAUCAGUGGGAGAAUCAUGUAGAGCUUUGUCAUACCUUUCCAACAAGUACUUAUGCGCUCGAUUCGGAGUUAUAAUUUAUGAGAUAUCGUUGUUUGAAUCAGGUUAUGUUGCUGUCCAAAAAAAACAGAAUUUUCAGGUGGGUGAACAGCAGUAGUAUUAGCAGUUUCUGGAAAUUUUUCGUGGGUAAUUAGUGUUAACCAGUAUGAUAAUCAUGUAGGGCUUUGUCUUAUCUUUCCAAUGAGUACUUAUGCGCUUGAUUUAGAAUUCUAUUUUAAAAGAUAUCGCUGUUUGAAUCCGGGUAUGUCGCUGUCCAAAAGACAAAAAAACAGAUUACAGGGUUCAUCUUGUGGACUGUUUUGGGCUAAUUAGAUGUUGGAAUUUAAUUAUAAAUUGUAUACAAAACUUGUGUGGAAAUUAAUGUAGAUGCCUCUGGAGUUUUUGUUUGUUACCACUGCUGUCAUAAUUUUAAAGUUAUGAAAUUAUUAAGCAGCGCCGCUGCAGUUUGGUGGGUGUGGGGAGAGAUGUAACCCGCGGCGGGGUUUGAGUUUGUGCGUAGGUGCGGCGUCGCUUAUGAGCCUGAUUAUGUGAAAUUGGUCCAUUAAGUUGUGUGUCAAAAACAGGUGGUGGACUUCCGGAUCGUACUUAGGGAUUUGCCCGAACUUCCGGUAAAGGCAAGUAAAUACAGUGGUGGUUGCUACCGUUUGGUUUACAUCCUAUUCCCUGUCAUUGAGUAUGCAUAAGUUUUAAUUAUGUUAAUCAUUAAAUUCUAUGAUGAAGCUUAUUGUUUGGAAGUAUUAAUUCUCAAUUGUCUAAUAUUGUGGAUGAUCAUAAUUUGGUAAUGAUAUAUGUGGUUGAUUCCCAUCUUGGAUGAAGUUGAAGUAUCUUUUUGAAUCACGUUAUAUGAAGUGUUGUAGGCAUGACAUGCACAUCGCAUCAUCCAUCUUGCAUUUUGAAGCUAUGUCGUGAUCUUAUGGUCCGACCGUACCGGUACAUUUUUAGCAUCGUACGUUGACCGAGGAGGGGUACGAUGCGGCUUCAUAUCCUUAGAGGUAUGAAGGCAGAAGUCAUCCUUGCAUUUGCAGACAUUUGCACUCAUGAGGUAUAUAUGAAGUGUGACAUUACUAUGUUACUAUUGUGGUUUCUACCUGCGAGGUGUGGUGACUAGGUGUGUUGUACGUUGUAUACGUGCUGCACCUUCGUAAUAAGAAGGUUGUGGAAUCAAGUGGUGGUAAAACAAUGUUCUUAUGUGGUUAAACAGUUUGAUAUUAUUUUACUUGCUGGGAUGUGUCAUCUCACUCUUGCAUUACUCAAUGCAGGUACUUGAUACAUGUUGGGAAUGAGGGGAGUAGCAGCACGUCCACUUUCACUCUCACAAUAGCGCUGCCCAGGCGCAGCCAUGAUUUAAUUUGAAAUUUAUUGUCAAAGGAAGUUUGUUUUUUUAACUAGUCGUGCGCACUAGUUAAUCCAGUUCAUGUCAUAAGUUUAACUUCUCUUUGCUAGCUGAUUAAUAAUACUUAGUAUGUUUUUGUCAUGAUAUAUGUUUAUACACUGUUGCCCCC